Molecule: long non-coding RNA, 3012 nt
Organism: Zophobas morio
Lineage: Eukaryota; Metazoa; Arthropoda; Insecta; Coleoptera; Tenebrionidae
Exons: 3
Source: RefSeq, a predicted model, not a curated record
AGUAGUCUUGAUUAUCAUCGUACCUAGAUGAUGAGCAAAAAAUUAUUACUAGACAGUUUUAUGCCAAUGAAACACAUUGUAAAUUAGUUGCGCGUAAAGGAAUUUUUCCAUAAUUAUUGGGCAAAAUUGCAAGAUACGUGUCUGCCACCUAGGGAAAAGUUUUAUAGCAAAAUUCAAAGUUGUGAAAUCUCUGGUGAAGACUAUGCACACGCAUGCAACGUUUGGAAUACUUUCAAAAUUAAAACAUUACAAGAAUAUGCAGAGUUAUAUCUCAAAACAGACGUUUUACUUCUGGCUGAUAUUUUUGAAAAUUUUAGAAAGACAUGUAUAAAAACAUACAAACUCGAUAGUCUACAUUACUACACUGCCCCUGGUUUAGCAUUUGAUAUUAUGCUAAAAAUAACUAAAAUUAAAUUAGAACUACUUACAGACAUUGACAUGGUGAUGUUCAUUGAAAAAGGUAUUCGAGGGGGAAUUUCUCAGUGUAGCAAUCGUUAUGGAAAAGCAAAUAAUCCAUACAUGGGAAACGCUUAUAAUCCCAAUGAGCCCUCUUCAUAUCUUAUGUAUUUUGAUGUCAAUAAUCUUUACGGUGCAGCAAUGAGCUGUUAUCUUCCAUACGGUAAUUUUCAAUGGGUGCAGGUUAUUGAAUUUUACAAUGAAAAUUGUAUGUCCUGAAGAUAAUGACUACGGCUACAUUUUUGAAGUUGAUCUUUGUUACCUUAAAGAAAUCUUUGAGACACACAAAGACUUACCAGUUUGUCCUGAACAUUUAGUUCCACCUAUUUCAGAAUCUGAAUGUCCAAAAUUAUUGACUACUUUAUAUGACAAAAAAAAUAUGUGAUUCAUUACAGAAAUUUACAGCAAGCCAUUCGUUUAGGUUUAAGACUUGUAAAAAUUCAUAGGUGUUUGAAGUUUAAGCAAUCAAAGUGGUUAAAAGAAUAUAUAGAUUUAAAUACUAAUUUACGGAAAGAAAGUCGAAACGAAUUCGAAAAGAAUUUUUAUAAAUUAAUGAACAACGCAGUCUUUGGAAAGACUAUUGAAAAUGUAAAAAAAUAUCGUGAAGUCAAAUUGGUAACUAAAUGGUCAGGAAGGUUUGGAGCAAAUUACUAUAUCUCACAACCUAAUUUCCACAGUUGUAUUAUAAUCGACAAAAAAACGUAGUGCUAAUGGAAAUGAAAAAAUUAAACGUUAACUUUAACAAACCGAUUUACGUGGGUAUGUGUAUAUUAGACAUUUCAAAAAUAUUUUUGUAUGACUUCCAUUAUAGCUACGUAAAACAAAAAUUUGGUCAAAAUGGAAAAUUAUUAUACACUGAUACUGAUAGUCUAAUUUACCAUUUUUUGUUGAUGAUAUGUACAAACACAUCAAGGAAGAUAUUGAGAAGUUUGAUACUUCUGAUUAUCCUCCUAAUAAUGCUUACCAAAUUCCAUUAGCAAACAAAAAAGUUUUAGGGUUAACGAAAGAUGAAAAUAAUGGUGCUAUAAUGACUGAAUUUAUCGGAUUACGUUCAAAAAUGUACCUGCAAGGACUAUUAACCACUUCUCAGGAAAAAGAUGUACAACUUCAAAAGAUGUAUGAUAAGCAAUUUACACAAAUAGAAAUUGAAAAUUUCCUAUCAAACUUUGGAGUGAUCAAAAAGGCUAAAUGAAUUCAGAAGCCGGUUUUAAAGGAAAUUACAUUUGAUGAUUAUUAUGAUGCUUUAUUCAAUAAUCAAAAAGUAUUUGUUUUCCAAAAUUCUAUAAGAACUGAAAAGCAUGAGGUUUACACAAUCGAGCAAAAUAAACUUGCAUUGAAUCCUCAAUAUGAUAAACGCAUGGUGAAUUAUUUAAGUACAGACACAUUGCCAUGGGGUUUUCUUGAUGAAGUUGGUUUCUUUCGAUAAAGUUAAAGAUAAAACUUUUUUUUGUUUUAACAUAAUCUACUUCAUACAAUCUCAAUUUUGUUGCUUGAAAAGGAACACACUAAUUUCCUAAAACUAUCACGUUUGUAAAAAAACCUUUGCAUCAAUGUAACUUUUUACAAACACCUAAAAACAAGGGUGUGCUUCAAGAAAGUAAAGCAGAAUUUCAAAAGUUGCAAAAUGAGAAUAGAAGAUGUUUUGUGGCUGGAGGCUACGCAGCAUUUUUGUUAAAACGUACAUCGCGUUAUAGCGAUGUAGACGUAUUUGUUGAAGGCCAUCCCACUGACGCUGAGAAAAAACAAAUUGACGAACAACGUAAAGACGAUUAUAAGAUGUUAAAAUAUAAAAAUUUUUACUAUUGGUGUAGUAAUAUAAAAUUUAAUGUAAUAUUUUUGGGUAAAGUGGCAGAAUACGACUGGAAAAGUUUUAUAGCAAAGUGUAUCAGUGAAUUUGAUCUGCCGAUAUGCCGUGUGGCAUUUUUUUUUAUCCACCAAUCAAUUUGAAGUAAUAAUGGACGAGAUGGCAGAUCUUACUGUUGCAAUGAAUGCCAAUGCAAGCAUGUUACGUAUUUUAAAGUAUAUAAAUAGAUCUAAUUUUAAUUAAUGGGGUAGUAGCAGCAACUUCAGAAAUUAAGAAAAAAAAUUGGGACGCAAUAUUGUCACAGUUGUAGGAUUUUUUCUGUUUCUGUAUAAGUUCAAUAUCAAUCCAUCUAUCACCCGCACCAAAGGACAACAAAGCAAUUUCGAUUUGUGAAUUUUUGGUUUGUGGUGAAAGUUUAAAAAGCAGUGACGAUGAAGACUAAUACAACUGAAAAAGCUGCAAAAGUUCACUUACUUAGAGACAAACUUAAGCGUAGCUAUGUUUACACAAGUGAACUGCGUAACAUUAGUGGUGUACUGUCGAGUGGAAAGUUAAGUGUUGGUGAUGUAAGUAGGCUAGUAGAAAAACCAGUAUUACCUAAUAAAGUUAAGAUAGGUAUAAGAAAGGAAUAUAAUCUUCCGAAUCACACUGAAGAAAGUGAUUAUGAUUCACAAGAAACAAUAGCUAAUAAUUAAUUUUUAAGUUUAUUUGUUAGUUUUUUUUUAUAAGAUCCAAUGUGUAAUUUUUUUAUA